AAGACUUGGCAAUAGUUCCUUCCAUCCCAUUCCUCCUUCUGUUCUCACGCCUCCCAUUCUCAACUAAUUGGCCAAAUCUCUUUCCCGAAGAGAGAACUUUAGGAUUUUCUUGAUUCUUUAAUUGUGUUUGAUGGCGUGGGUACUCAUAGGUGGGCACGAUUUUGUGGGUUUCUGAAGGUGGUGGAUGAUGAUAAUUUUGUAGUGGUGGUUGGAAGCGGUAGUGAUGGCGAUAAUGGUGGAUAACAUCAAUUCUUCUUUGGUUCUUUUAUUUUUGCUGAUAUAAAGAAAGAAGACCAGCAUCAGAGGCUGAAUUUAGGAUGGGUUCUGAAAAAUCUGAUUGGCAAAGAAGGCUGGAGAUGGAGGAACAGACAAGAACUAGUGAACGUUUUGACGGAGAAGGUUGAAAUGAGUGUAAGACGGCAUUUACUGUUGCUGUACUUACAGUUGUUGGAAGAGACUGUACCUUCAUUUUAUUAGGUAGCACAAAAAAGAUAAAGAUCUUAGCAAUAACGACAGUGUUUGAUGGUCUUGGAUGGAGG
Molecule: long non-coding RNA, 539 nt
Filed under: Nicotiana benthamiana
Lineage: Eukaryota; Viridiplantae; Streptophyta; Magnoliopsida; Solanales; Solanaceae
Description: long non-coding RNA (NBEN_LNC039117)
Source: RNAcentral